UGUGAACAUGUAAUGUAAAACUAUAACUUGAAGCAAAUAGCAUAUAUAGAUUAAACUACAAAAGGCUUUGUCAGGAAACAUUCCUUCUGUUUUAAGUAAACUACAGUGCCUACCAACAUACAGCAGCCAUAAUGCUUAAAAAACUUGACUCUGCAUAAUGUCAAUAGAGUUGCAAAUCAAAAACUGCCUAACAUAACAGAUUAUAUAAAUAGCUUGAUCCACAAGGAGCUUCUUUCUAGGACAAGAUGUAGUCCCCACUUGUGAUGCCGCGCUUUCAUCACCUUAGUUUGUGGACUCCUUAACAGUUUCUAGAGCUGAAGUUUCGACCUUUGAAUCACUGGAAUCAUUAGCUGCAACAGGAAUCUGAGAAUCUCUAUCGUCUUCCAUUGGAUGAUGCAGCGGGUCAUUUUGGCUUUUCCUUUCUUCAGAAACAUGCAAGUCAUUAACCUUUUCUCCAUUAGUUGCAUCAGAAACAUGCACCUGAAUAUCAGCCUCCGCUUUCGAAUCAGGAGGAUGCGAAUCGUUCCCAUAUCCAAUUGGCUGCGACUCGUUAG
This 554-nucleotide long non-coding RNA is filed under the name Linum usitatissimum (flax). RNAcentral's name for it is "long non-coding RNA (LUSI_LNC001848)". Lineage: Eukaryota; Viridiplantae; Streptophyta; Magnoliopsida; Malpighiales; Linaceae. The record is from RNAcentral.